RNAcentral lists this ribosomal RNA (731 nucleotides) under uncultured Lachnospiraceae bacterium. RNAcentral's name for it is "bacterial SSU rRNA". It matches the Rfam family "Bacterial small subunit ribosomal RNA", at positions 30 to 758 of the family's 1533-position model. The record is from RNAcentral. Lineage: Bacteria; Bacillati; Bacillota; Clostridia; Lachnospirales; Lachnospiraceae.
CGAACGCUGGCGGCGUGCCUAACACAUGCAAGUCGAACGGAACUGUUUUGAAAGAUUUCUUCGGAAUGAAUUUGAUUUAGUUUAGUGGCGGACGGGUGAGUAACGCGUGAGUAACCUGCCUUCAAGAGGGGGAUAACAUUCUGAAAAGGAUGCUAAUACCGCAUGACAUAUCGGAACCACAUGGUUUUGAUAUCAAAGAUUUUAUCGCUUGAAGAUGGACUCGCGUCCGAUUAGUUAGUUGGUGAGGUAACGGCUCACCAAGACCGCGAUCGGUAGCCGGACUGAGAGGUUGAACGGCCACAUUGGGACUGAGACACGGCCCAGACUCCUACGGGAGGCAGCAGUGGGGGAUAUUGCGCAAUGGGGGCAACCCUGACGCGGCAACGCCGCGUGAAGGAUGAAGGUUUUCGGAUUGUAAACUUCUUUUAUUAAGGACGAAAAAUGACGGUACUUAAUGAAUAAGCUCCGGCUAACUACGUGCCAGCAGCCGCGGUAAUACGUAGGGAGCAAGCGUUGUCCGGAUUUACUGGGUGUAAAGGGUGCGUAGGCGGCUUUGCAAGUCAGAUGUGAAAUCUAUGGGCUCAACCCAUAAACUGCAUUUGAAACUGUAGAGCUUGAGUGAAGUAGAGGCAGGCGGAAUUCCCCGUGUAGCGGUGAAAUGCGUAGAGAUGGGGAGGAACACCAGUGGCGAAGGCGGCCUGCUGGGCUUUAACUGACGCUGAGGCACGAAA